AACUCCAAGGAAGUGGAGAAAAAACAGUGAGGAAGAUCAAGAGAAAGUAAGGUAGUUUAGAGACAAGUUUUUUCGUUUAACAUUCUUUAGUUUCUUUGUUAGUAUGACAUGAUCCAUGGAUAAGUUUUUCUAUUAUUGUGCAUUCACAUUAUUAUUCGCUGCUUUGAAAUCACUAAAUAUGUGCCUAUGGUUUCUUUCAUAAUUCUUCUUCUUCAUCAUCUUUGUUAUGAGUUUUAUGGCUCUUAAUAUACUUGGUUGUCUCUAUUUCAUAUCCAUAUGUGUCACUAACUAUUGACUUAAUUUAAAAUUAUUUUAUUAAUUUUUAAUUAUCCCAUUUGAAUUAAAAUGUUUGAACUCUAUUUAUUUAAUUUUUUCUAUCGCCAAUCUUUGUAUGAUAAUUGAGUUAGGAUAUAUCUAUUUAAAAAACAAUGAAUAUUGCUCAAAAUAAAUUUACUUCUGUAUAUAAAUUCUUUAGUUAAUUGGAUAUUUUUACUAACAUUUUGACCAUUAGAAACUUAAUGAAACUGUUCAUUGCUUUUUAUAAUAAUAUAAUAUUUCGCCAACUAAUAACAAUAAUAGUAUUACCGUUAAUGUUGAUGUUUUUGUUCAUUUCCGUAUGAUUAUUGUUUAUAAAUAUUUUAUUAUUUGAUAUGUAUAUAUAAUAGGGUUACAUUAUUGAUUCUUAGGUCAUAUUUCAAAAAUAAUAUAAUUAAUAAAAUCUAUAUUAUAUAAAGCCAAAAUAUGGUAUGACCACCAUGGUAUAAUUUAUAUAUUCAUAUUUUACGCUUUAAUUUUUUAAUUUAAAAAAAAACAAUAUAAUCCUAUAUAACCAUCUCAAACACAUUAAUUAUAAGUUGUAUAUUCUAUAAAGACAAAAAAUAUAAUAUAAAGUAAAUACAAUACAAAAAAUAUAUUUUAAUUCUACAAAAUCUAUCUAUAUCUAUAUCUAUACUAUAUAUAAAGUCAAAACACCACCAUCAUGGUAUAAUUUAUAUAUUCCUAUUUUACCCUUCAAUUUUUUAAUUAAAAAAAAACAAUAUAAUCCUAUAUAACCAUCUCAAACAUGUUAAUUAUAAGUUGCAUAUUCUAAUAAAGACAAAAAAUAUAAUAUAAAGUAAAUACAAUACAAAAAAUAUUUUAAUUCUACAAAAUGAAAUGUAUAAAAAUUAAUUACUUAGUACUUUAAAAUAAGAAUGUGACCGACAAACACUCGACAUACAUGAAGUGUUUGUCACACACUAAUACUAAUAAAGAAUAUAAAUACUAAAACUUUGCUAAAUUAGAAUGUAGUAUAAAUGUUUAUAAACUAACUGAUUUCAAAUUUUGUAAGAUAAAAUGUUAACAAGAUCUAGAAGUUUAUCCAUUACUGUUGGUUUUGACUAAACAUCUUGACUUUUGUUUAUCAAUUAAGGUAAGCUACAAUGGAAGCAACUUCAAUGAAGAUGAUGAUAAUGUUGUUACUCGUAUUACUCCUUGUUGCUUCUACUUUGAUGGAAAGUGCAAAUGCGAAUGUUAAAUGUUGUGAUUGUUGUCAAGUGAGGAGUGGUUGUUGCUUUUGUUGUAUUAAGAGUAAACUCUUGAAUAUGAAAAAGUAGUAACUUUAUGUUGCUUUCUUCAAAUUUACAAUAAUUUGAUUGAGUUUGAAGAAAGAUGAUUUAAUAUACAAAAUAAACUAUAAUAAAAGAGG
RNAcentral lists this long non-coding RNA (1687 nucleotides) under Lupinus angustifolius (narrow-leaved blue lupine). RNAcentral describes it as "long non-coding RNA (LANG_LNC001967)". The record is from RNAcentral. Lineage: Eukaryota; Viridiplantae; Streptophyta; Magnoliopsida; Fabales; Fabaceae.